RNAcentral lists this ribosomal RNA (346 nucleotides) under Panagrolaimus sp. JU1371. Its description in RNAcentral is "LSU rRNA". It matches the Rfam family "Eukaryotic large subunit ribosomal RNA", at positions 646 to 963 of the family's 3401-position model. Lineage: Eukaryota; Metazoa; Nematoda; Chromadorea; Rhabditida; Panagrolaimidae. The record is from RNAcentral.
GACCCGUCUUGAAACACGGACCAAGGAGUUUACCGUAUGUGCGAGUCAUUAAGUGUUAAAAACUUAUUGGCGUAAUGAAAGUAAAGUAUUCUUUAUCGAAUAUGAUAUAUGAUUAUCUUUUCUUUAUGGAAAGAUAAGCAGUAUAGUCCCAUCCAAUUUGUUUACAAAUGGGUGGAGAUAGAGCAUAUGCGAUGAGACCCGAAAGAUGGUGAACUAUGCCUGAGCAGGAUGAAGUCAGAGGAAACUCUGAUGGAAGUCCGAAGCGGUUCUGACGUGCAAAUCGAUCGUCUGACUUGGGUAUAGGGGCGAAAGACUAAUCGAACCAUCUAGUAGCUGGUUCCUUCCG